CUCCUGGAGCGGCCGAUAUCUGAUUAGCUAGUUGGUGAGGUAAAGGCUCACCAAGGCGACGAUCAGUAGCUGGUCUGAGAGGACGACCAGCCACACUGGAACUGAGACACGGUCCAGACUCCUACGGGAGGCAGCAGUGGGGAAUUUUGGACAAUGGGCGCAAGCCUGAUCCAGCAAUGCCGCGUGAGUGAAGAAGGCCUUCGGGUUGUAAAGCUCUUUUGUCAGGGAAGAAACGGUAGAGGCUAAUAUCCUUUGCUAAUGACGGUACCUGAAGAAUAAGCACCGGCUAACUACGUGCCAGCAGCCGCGGUAAUACGUAGGGUGCAAGCGUUAAUCGGAAUUACUGGGCGUAAAGCGUGCGCAGGCGGUUUUGUAAGUCUGUCGUGAAAGCCCCGGGCUCAACCUGGGAAUUGCGAUGGAGACUGCAAGGCUUGAAUCUGGCAGAGGGGGGUAGAAUUCCACGUGUAGCAGUGAAAUGCGUAGAGAUGUGGAGGAACACCGAUGGCGAAGGCAGCCCCCUGGGUCAAGAUUGACGCUCAUGCACGAAAGCGUGGGGAGCAAACAGGAUUAGAUACCCUGGUAGUCCACGCCCUAAACGAUGUCUACUAGUUGUCGGGUUUUAAUUAACUUGGUAACGCAGCUA
This 643-nucleotide ribosomal RNA is filed under the name Oxalobacteraceae bacterium RIM153-B4. RNAcentral describes it as "bacterial SSU rRNA". It matches the Rfam family "Bacterial small subunit ribosomal RNA", at positions 218 to 854 of the family's 1533-position model. Lineage: Bacteria; Pseudomonadati; Pseudomonadota; Betaproteobacteria; Burkholderiales; Oxalobacteraceae. The record is from RNAcentral.